Molecule: ribosomal RNA, 492 nt
Filed under: uncultured bacterium
Lineage: Bacteria
Description: partial 16S ribosomal RNA
Rfam family: Bacterial small subunit ribosomal RNA
Source: RNAcentral
AGUGAACGCUGGCGGUAGGCCUAACACAUGCAAGUCGAACGGCAGCACAGUAAGAGCUUGCUCUUACGGGUGGCGAGUGGCGGACGGGUGAGGAAUACAUCGGAAUCUACUUUUUCGUGGGGGAUAACGUAGGGAAACUUACGCUAAUACCGCAUACGACCUACGGGUGAAAGCAGGGGAUCUUCGGACCUUGCGCGAUAGAAUGAGCCGAUGUCGGAUUAGCUAGUUGGCGGGGUAAAGGCCCACCAAGGCGACGAUCCGUAGCGGGUCUGAGAGGAUGAUCAGCCACACUGGAACUGAGACACGGUCCAGACUCCUACGGGAGGCAGCAGUGGGGAAUAUUGGACAAUGGGCGCAAGCCUGAUCCAGCCAUACCGCGUGGGUGAAGAAGGCCUUCGGGUUGUAAAGCCCUUUUGUUGGGAAAGAAAAGCAGCAUGUGAAUACCCCGCUGUUCUGACGGUACCCAAAGAAUAAGCACCGGCUAACUUCGUG